This is a long non-coding RNA of Oreochromis aureus, 2168 nucleotides long. NCBI's taxonomy places the organism in Eukaryota, Metazoa, Chordata, Actinopteri, Cichliformes, Cichlidae. The record is from Ensembl.
UUCCCAGCACAGUAACAUCCACCAUCACAGCGUCACUGAGAUCCUCUGGGACUCUUUUACAAAAUUCCCCAUAAUGACUCUCGUGUUUUCUUCACCUCGCGGAGUUUUCCCAUUUUAGCGUGUAUAGCAGUCAGCAGGAGGAGGAGGAGUCUGCCAGCUGAAGCUUGUUUGCAGACUCUCGGUGCGUUUUGGACUAAGCCCGUGCUUUUAUGGGUCAGGCUUAGUUCCAGUCUGAAUUCUAGGUAUUUAUGAUAUUUUUUCCUCUUGUUUUUCAAAAAGUGUUUCUUUGACGGACAGCUUGUGAGGAGACACAGCAGCAGGGAUAUUUGGUCAUGAGCGUCUCCGUUUAACUCUGCGAUGGAGUCAAGUAUGAGAGUUAUUGUCCUUCUCGUUGUGAUGAGAUUUUCUGCUUCUGAGGAAGUGAAGAAGAACCUGACGGGCACUGUGGGAGGAAACAUCACUCUACCUGCACCUGUGCAGGAGGAAGAGUUAGGAUAUCUGUCAUAUGGAAGAACGAUUAUUGCUGAUGUGAAAGAGCUGCAGAGGAACGACUCAGGGAUUUAUACUGUCGACUCUAAAACAGGAAAAGUUUUCACAUCAUCAUAUAAGCUCACAGUGUACGACUCUGUACCGACUCCUGCAGUGAAGAAAGUGAGUGUGAGCUCUGAGAGCUGCUCCUUACUGUGUUUGGUGGACAGAGAGACCAAACUGCUGUGGUUUAAAGACGAGCAGAGACUGAACCAGAGCAGCUCUGCGCUCUCUCUGCCUCUCACUGUGCACAAACAGGACUUAAACUCCUCUUACACAUGUGUGGCUGCAAACCCUGCAGAGAAUAAAACUCUUCCUGUCCAUGUGAGAACGACCUGUGGAGACACCAACAAUGACACCAACAGCUCGACUGAACCAAGAAACUAUAACAUCCUCAUUAUAAUCUUCUGUGUCCUGUUGGUUGUGAUCAUCGUACUUGCUGCUUUUGUCAUGAAGUCAAUGUAUCUUCACAAAGAAAAGGAAGAAAAAAUACGAAAACUAUUACCAACAAUCUGAAUAUAGUAUCAGCUGGAGCCUUGUACAUGAUGCUCAGACUCUGGUGAUGAUGUUGGGUGAACAACAAAUCAGGUCAUCAGUCAGUUUCUACGCCUGUUAAAGUCGUGUUAUUAAGUCUGGAGCUGAUAUUGUUUUACCUGACAAAUUAUUGUGGGUCCUUUACAGGAGAAAACAUAAUACUGAUGUCAUUCAAGCAUAAUCUCUGGAAGAGAUUAAUGUUUGAACAGCAGCUAUUGUGGUGCUAAGAUAUUAUAAAGAUAUUAUGGUGCCUUUUUAUACACUGCUGUUAGCUCUGCAGCAUCGAUUCAUGGUGGAAAUGUUUGUUUUUAAAGGAAAUGACAAAAAUCAGGCUGCAGAUGACAGUUAAUAAAAAUCAUUCUUUAUAACUCAUAGUUAUGAUCAAAUUUUAAUACAUUUUUAAAUACAUAUUAUUGCUGCUGAGGAAAAACAUACAAGCGUAGGUGUUCAUGUCUGCUGCUGUUUUUUUGUAUUUGCUCAAACUCGCUCAGUUUUGGGCCUUUUGAUUGAUUUGAAUCUGAACGUUUACGUACGAGACCAAAACCUGAUGUAAUCCCAGACGUGUUACUGUGAGUGUUUCUGUGGCCUGAAAAUCAAAGAGCAUCAGUAUUAUUAUUAUUAUCACAUGCUGGUCCAGCAAUGAGAAAAUCUUUAUCAUCCCACAUGAACAAUCACUGCAUUCAGUUUAGAUUUAACCCUCUGAGCUCCUCCUUUAGGAUAGUUUUCACCUUUGAACUGUUUUACUUUGUAAUAUUCUUUUCAUUUUAUUGAGCCCAGUGUUUUCAUAUUUUGCCUCCUAUAAAACACUAAUUUCCUGACUUCUGGUAUAAAUUAAAUUCUUCUUGUUUCUGGUUCUUCUUUAUUAUAAUGUUUGCCCAUGUUCAAAUAUUUCUGCACUUUAAAACUCAGAUAUGUGUUUGGGAUGAAUUGUAGGAAUCAUGUUUAUCUCAUUUCUGUUAUUGAAACUGUCUGAAAGCUCAGUUAUUGAUCAAUAUGUUUACUUUCACAAUGUAAUGAUUUUACUUUUAUUUGAAGUUUAAAUUGAGACUGACAGCAAAGGUACCUGAGGAGCAUCAAAUAAACCAAGUUUUCUUUCAGUAUGUGAA